UCCACUUCUUCAAGGAAGGGUCUUCCAGCUGAGCGCUUCCCUGUUUCUGUCCCUAUCUCCUUCUCUCUCCCAGAAAGUUUCUUGCCUUCUCUUGACUUACAGAAGACAUCACUUCCUUGAAGACUUGGCUCACUAUAAGCCUCCUGGCGGCUCCUUCCUGGGGCACUGGGCCAAACUCCUGACACGAUUAAGAAGAGGUUUUGGAACUGGGCCAGACUAGGAAAACAGGAAAGAUGACGAACAAAGCUUCCCUCCUUCUGAGGGUUGUUUAUUCCAGUGUUCCUUCAGUUGAGUUUUCUGGGUACACAGCAGCCCUUGGCUUUCCAUCCCAUGUGCAGCCUCUGGCCCAGCACUUAGUCCACUCUCAGUCAUAGAGCUUAUCACACAGACUUGCUCCAGUGCCCACUUGUCCAACUGCCCCAAACUCCUGGAAACCAGAAAGAACACAGAUGUAUCUCAACUGAGUGCCUACCAUAUUUCUACAGGAGGAACUGUCUUCGCAUAAAAGCCCCUCUGCAGCUCCUUAAGAUCCUACUGAUGCUUCAAUUGCCUCAUCUUUGGUCAACAAGAGCCUCUUCAAGACAUUGGCUUCUGAGCCCUUUUGACAUGACACUAUAGCUUUAUUGCUUUCUGGAAUGAAAAAGUCUUCUUGGUUCAUCUUGUAUAUUUUUUGCUCCAGACCUUGAAUCAGCUAUUUCUCCUAGGAGCCCUGGUUCUUUUGUGGGAAAUGAAUCAUCUUGUCAAGUUCUGCAAAAAGACAACUGAGACUUUGAUAGAAAUUACAUUGAUUCCAGAGAUCAAUAUGAGGAGUAUUGUCAUCUUAACAAUAUUACUUCUUAUAAUACAUGAAUGUCAGGCUCAAAGUUCUGACAAUAAGCCUGAUUGGCUCAGGUGGGGUCAUGUGACCAGGACAGGUGGGACAUCUUGAAUGACAGUCCCGGAAAUAUUGCACAAAAAGAGGACGAUUUCCCAAGAAAUUAUGGACUAUAUAGAAAAGUAUGAAGAAGAGAAUACACAUUACCUGCAAAUCUGCCACCCAGAGAACAUGGCUACUAACAUUUGGAAAACAUCUCUCCUAUCCCAUAAA
This 1087-nucleotide long non-coding RNA is filed under the name Homo sapiens (human). RNAcentral describes it as "HSALNT0267314". The record is from RNAcentral. Lineage: Eukaryota; Metazoa; Chordata; Mammalia; Primates; Hominidae.